Zeugodacus cucurbitae (melon fly) is the source of this 425-nucleotide long non-coding RNA. RefSeq lists it as uncharacterized. The transcript is spliced from 3 exons. The record is from RefSeq and is a predicted model, not a curated record. Lineage: Eukaryota; Metazoa; Arthropoda; Insecta; Diptera; Tephritidae.
ACCGUCGCGCAGUCAACACAGCUAGUAACUUAAUAGGAAGGAAAUACAAAGGAUACAUUUAAACACAACAACACCUACUACAGUGGCGUAUAUGAUAUGCUGCGGUACCCGAAGUUGAGAAACUUUUUCAGAAUGCUGUGGUGAAACUGCACUAAUGUGAGAAGUUCAAAAAGGAUUGUGAUACCUUUGAGCAAUUUAUAGAAGAACACAAGCUGUCGCUUCAAAUCUAGCAGUGGCAACAUAUCAAGAUGGGAUGCGCCGGCUUUAGCGUGACAACAUAGGGGCAACCCCAAAUUUGGAUUCAAAAUGACCCGAUGGGAGAAUGCCGCUUGUAUCAGUUACGGAAUUCACUUUGAAAAUAAAAUAAAAUUUUAAAAGUAUUAAAAAUAGUUUUAUAUACUGGAGAAUCGUAAUAUUACCAUAAU